This 207-nucleotide ribosomal RNA is filed under the name Spicara maena (blotched picarel). RNAcentral's name for it is "partial 16S ribosomal RNA". The record is from RNAcentral. Lineage: Eukaryota; Metazoa; Chordata; Actinopteri; Spariformes; Centracanthidae.
CUCCCAGUCAAUGAAAUUGAUCUCCCCGUGCAGAAGCGGGGAUAAUAACAUAAGACGAGAAGACCCUAUGGAGCUUAAGGCGCCAGGGCAGCUCACGUUAAACACCCCUAGUUAAAGGAAUGAACCAAGUGAACCCUGCCCCAGUGUUUUUGGUUGGGGCGACCGCGGGGAAAUACAAAACCCCCAUGUGGACCAGGAACACUACAU